GGUGCGGUGCCAGAGUGGUUAAUGGGUAAGACUUGAAUUGCUUCUAAUUCAGCUAUCUUAUGGCUUCGGCCGCGCAGGUUCGAUCCCUGUCCGCACCG
Molecule: non-coding RNA, 98 nt
Organism: Whalleya microplaca
Lineage: Eukaryota; Fungi; Ascomycota; Sordariomycetes; Xylariales; Xylariaceae
Source: the annotation of a GenBank genome assembly